This 541-nucleotide ribosomal RNA is filed under the name Salmonella enterica. Its description in RNAcentral is "partial 23S ribosomal RNA". It matches the Rfam family "Bacterial large subunit ribosomal RNA", at positions 1112 to 1653 of the family's 2925-position model. Lineage: Bacteria; Pseudomonadati; Pseudomonadota; Gammaproteobacteria; Enterobacterales; Enterobacteriaceae. The record is from RNAcentral.
GCAGCCAUCAUUUAAAGAAAGCGUAAUAGCUCACUGGUCGAGUCGGCCUGCGCGGAAGAUGUAACGGGGCUAAACCAUGCACCGAAGCUGCGGCAGCGACACUGUGUGUUGUUGGGUAGGGGAGCGUUCUGUAAGCCUGCGAAGGUGGCCUGUGAGGGUUGCUGGAGGUAUCAGAAGUGCGAAUGCUGACAUAAGUAACGAUAAAGCGGGUGAAAAGCCCGCUCGCCGGAAGACCAAGGGUUCCUGUCCAACGUUAAUCGGGGCAGGGUGAGUCGACCCCUAAGGCGAGGCCGAAAGGCGUAGUCGAUGGGAAACGGGUUAAUAUUCCCGUACUUGGUGUUACUGCGAAGGGGGGACGGAGAAGGCUAUGUUGGCCGGGCGACGGUUGUCCCGGUUUAAGCGUGUAGGUGUGUGUUCCAGGUAAAUCCGGUUCACUUUAACACUGAGGCGUGACGACGAGGCACUACGGUGCUGAAGCAACAAAUGCCCUGCUUCCAGGAAAAGCCUCUAAGCAUCAGGUAACAUCAAAUCGUACCCCAAA